RNAcentral lists this transfer RNA (71 nucleotides) under Coleofasciculus sp. FACHB-501. RNAcentral's name for it is "tRNA-Met". It matches the Rfam family "tRNA". Rfam says of the family: Transfer RNA (tRNA) molecules are approximately 80 nucleotides in length. The record is from RNAcentral. RNAcentral also lists the same sequence under 3 other names. Lineage: Bacteria; Bacillati; Cyanobacteriota; Cyanophyceae; Coleofasciculales; Coleofasciculaceae.
UACUAGCUCAGUUGGUUAGAGCACUUGACUCAUAAUCAAGCCGUGACGGGUUCAAUUCCCGUGUAUACCCA